This 5994-nucleotide long non-coding RNA is filed under the name Sus scrofa (pig). RNAcentral describes it as "lncRNA (ENSSSCG00005010941.1)". Lineage: Eukaryota; Metazoa; Chordata; Mammalia; Artiodactyla; Suidae. The record is from RNAcentral.
CAAUGAGUUUAUAUGAACUUCCAGUUUGGUAUAUAGAAAGUGGGCUCACCUGCAUUUUUCCUCACCUUUCUCUCAAAGCCCUUCAUGGACAUCCCUGUCUGCCAGCUUUGACCUCUGGUCGACAAUGUUUGUUCCUUCAGACCUUUGUCCUAUCUCUCUCGAUUCCUGAGCCAUGCAUGAUUCUAAUUCCCAAGGUCUGCCCACUUGGCACUGAUAAACUCUUGUUCUGUGCUUUCCCACAACUUCUGUUGCCACUAGAUUUCCUCUAGUCCCUUUGGUCUCUGGGUGCUCUGAAAUGUCUGGUUACAUUCCUCCAUUAUUCUGUCUUUGUAAGGCCACCUGUUGCAAGACCCAGCCCAAGCUCACUCACUGGUCAGGAUGACUGGAUCAGAGUUUGUUUCUAUGUUGCACCUUCUUUUCCCUGACUGAUUGUAUUUAAAACCAGAAAUAGUACUGGGAACUUGGAAUGGAUGAAAGAAUGAAUAGCAUAUAUGUAGGCAGACUUCUCAGGAAGUGGUGGGUUGGUUGGCUGAUUUGCUUGUUUGCAGCAGUAGACCCAGCUCCCUCCUCCAUCCCACCCACCCAACUUUCCCUUCCCAAUGUUAGCACUUAGCAACCUGACAUUGUUCUUGUUUUUGAGUAAAGUGUUAAGAGCAGAAGAAAAGCCAUGGUCCCCAGGACCAAAGCACUCAAUAGGAAGUGCUGGGGAAAUAUUUGUUAUUGUUACUACUGAUUACCACUUUUGUCAUGUCUGGAAUCAAACGGUGUCAUUAAGAGCAAAUUCAAUCAUAUUUAAAAUAUUAAAGAAAUAUUUAGAAAAAAAGAAGUCAACCAAUGUCCUAAGUGACGUUGCUCUUUUUCUCGGGGAAGACGAAGAAAGAAAUAACAGAAGAGCCUUAAAUCAAUUUUAGAAUUUUCAUGAACUUUCAAGUAUAGCCACCCUUGAAAAUGGUACCCUAUGCCAUUAUGCUGUAACCUUGGAUAAGUCACACAAUGUCUGUAAAGCUGUUUCUUCCACCGUGCCUGUGGCAUGUGAAAUUUCCCAGGCCAGUGAUCGAACCCACACCACAGCAGUCUGGUGACAAUGCUGCUGUGGUGACAGUACUGCAUCCUUAACCUGCUGUGCCCUCUAAAUGCUAUUUCUUCAACUGUAAAAUAUAAGUGAUAUACAGAAGUAUUAAAGAGAAUCAUUUUCCCCCUAAGUCCCAGAGAUGUGUGAUUUUAUACACAUAAGUAUGUUGAAUAUAUUGAAAUGUGUUGCAGUGGCAGUCAUGCCUUAUCCAGUAUUAUUCAAAGAUUCAUUUUUUAUGCAACAGUUAAGUUCACUUUUAAAAGAAUCACUCAUACCAAUAUUGUGAUUUUUAAAGUCCUUAAUAUUGAAUGAACACCGUUUUGAAAUUGAUAGAUAUCCAACUGAUAAUGUGCCCUUGGUGAAGUUUAAAAAUUUAGGAUGAAUUUUGAUAUUGACAAAGAAGUCAAACUACAAUCAAGUGUAAGUUACCUACACUAGAGGAAAAUAGUAUAUUAACUGAGUUUUACACAGGCCAAAGAUCGUAAAUACAUACCUGAACUUUGAAAAUGUACUCCAGCUGAAAGUGAAAACCCUAAGGAAUUUGUAAAGCUAAGAAAUAUUUUUAUAAAUUUGCAAAUUCAAAUGCUACUCAUCCUUAUAAGAAUCAGUUGAAUUUUUAUUCUUUUAGUUGAGAUAUUUGCCCUAACUAUAUUAUUUUUCAAACUUAAAAUAAAAUUCUAGAAAUGAACAUAAACAUGCCCUUUGUCAUUUGGCAAUUCUUGAAUGACAGGGGAGAAUUAUCACAGAAAAUUGUCUUAAUAUUUAAGUUCUGGUUCUGAUGAACGCCUUUCCUUGAAGUUUGGCGUAAUUCCGUAUUGCCUUACGUAAAAGAACACGAAACAACGAGUUCCACUGCAAUAUCCAGCUCUUCCACACAUAAUAUGUGUCUUUUGUGUAUCAAUUUACUUCUGUGGACCAAAAUUUUGCCCUAUUAAAAUAAAGGUGCUGUCUUAGAUCAGUGCAUCCUAAGGUGUGAUUCUGAAAUAGUAAGUGUUCUCCCAGCAAAUUCACGUUGGGUAGAUGAUAAAGGGGAUGAUAAAGGUAUCUAUUUCAGUCUUUAUUUUGAAAAACAUCGAUAAUAAAACCAUUCAGACUUUUCCCUUUCAAAUGGAAUUGUCUUAGAGCCUCGUGCUUGCACACUGGCAGUGUCUCCACAUUAAUGUUUUGCCAGUAAAAAACCUUUUUUAUUUCAAUAUCUGACUUUCCCAGAAUGUAAAUUUCCUUCAAUACAUUUUUCCACUGAUGCUCAUAUGGAAUUUUUGUAUUGACAUCCCUAGAACUCAAUACAACAUUAAAAAAAAGCUUUAUGGAAAAAGUCUUGAAAUACAAUCUAAUUAUAAUUAGCAGUAAAUAUAGAUUAUUUGAAACAUGUUGACAAAACAUCUAUAAAGUGAUUAUGCAUCUCAGAUGUCGCUGGCAUUAAGAGUGGUCAUGGUACUAAAUGCACAAAGAUGUGGGAUUUUUAUUUUGUUUUUUGCAAGCACAUUAAUUGUUUGAUGUUUUCAAAAUGAUGGUUUCCAUAUUCCUAAUGUAAUAGUUUGUUAUUAUAUGUAAGCUUUCCUUCCCUUCUAUUCCAGCUUUGAUUAGGAGUUUGGAGUUGACUAGGAGUACUUGAUAGUUUUUCUUUUUAAAAUAAUGGAAAUACCUCCUGGCCAGACUGAUUUAUUUGUAUUUUUCAGAGCACAUCUGAAUGGAUUAAUAAUGAGAUUCCUAUAUGCAAUUUUUUACUUGUAUCACCUUUUAUUCAAUAUAACAUACAAUAAAACAUUUACUAAAGACAGAAAUUAUAAGAGAAACAAAGAAAUAUUGAUGAAAGAGUGAUUAAUUAAUAGUAAGGCCUUCUCUAGUUCAUUGGAAAGCCUUAAUAUUUUGGGGGGUGGGUACCCCACCAGAUGGAUAAGUUCCCAGGCCAGGGAUUGAACUCACAAUUCAGCUGUGACUUGAAGUGACACAGCAGUGACAACGAUGGAUCCUUAACUCACUGUGCCACACGAUAAUGUCCCUUAAUAAUUAUUUUUAAUGAAAGGUCUGGAAUAAGCUUGCAGUAGGAUAAUUAGGGCUGUCAAUGGUAAAGGAUAAAAAGCCUGGGGGAGAGGAAAAAUUCAUAUUUAUUGAGUCCUAACUAUAAGCCAUCAGUGUGCUGGACAACUGUGUAGGCUGUCCUUGUACAUCUUUACCAGAAUGCUGCUAAUUAGUAUUAUCUUCAUCUUACAACUGGGAAAGCAGCUUUAGAAAGGCUAUAUUUUCCCCAACGUUAUCCAGAUAUCAUGAUAUCGAAUCCGUAUUCGAAUCCAGCCUCUCCAUCGCCAAAGUUCCUUCUUGGUCCAGCAUAAAAAAAUGCUAUUUUGGGAGUUCCCUUUUGGUGUGGCCAGAGAAAAAGAGAAAAGGAUGCCUCCCCUCUACAUCUGUGAGAUCUGGGAUUUGACUGGCUGUUGGAGGAGGAGAGGAAGCCAGUGGAAUCACUCCAUUUACAGAAUCAUAAACAAGCUAUCUUCGGUGAUACACCUCUCUCACAAACCUGUUACAAUAGGCCUCCAUUCUCUCAGGGCUUCUUUCUGCAAGUCGUCUUGCUCCUUGUCCUUAACUCAGUCUGCAAGAACGUGAGCUUGAAGCUCCCUCUGGUUCAGCUCAUGCAGAUACUAUCCACCUACUUUAUCCCACCAGUUCUGAUGAAAUCACUAGUCCAUUAAAGCAUUCUCUCUCACUCUUUGUGUUCAUGAGUAUACACAUUUUUUCUUCUUUUAUUUUCGUUUUAGUGGGAAAGGAAGCGGUAAAGUGGAAAUGUAAUAAUCAAUUCACCGUAUUUAGAUUGAAAUCCCUCAAUAUCUAAUUUUUUGAGAAAUCCUUAUACAUGGUUGCUUAAAAAAUUCCUUAUUUUUGGAUUAUUUAGAAACAAAAGACAAAUCUAAAAAAAGUUUCGUUUUUGCAAGAUUCGAAAUACAAGAACUCCAAAUGUCAGGUCAUGAAAGCUGUUUAUGUCUAUCUUGACAGUGCAGCAAAUAGUUAAAAUACAUUUACAAUAUAAAAAAAUCAAACAAAUUUAAUGUUACUAUUGAAAUGUGUAUUUAUAUUAAAUGAUUUUCUGUUAUAAUUAUUUUAAGGUAAGCUGGGUGGGAACCCUUUUCUAUAGACCAAAUUCAAAGAUUUCCUCAUAAAUUGUGAAUACUAUUAAGUUUGCAUUAAAACUAAUUUUAUAAAAAUCUUUAAUAGUAAAUUGGACUGAAACAUUUUAGAUCAAACAACCUCAACAUCUACUGUGAAAAACAAUUUUUAAUUAAAGAGUUUUAAAGCAUCUCAUAAUAAGUUUUACUAUGAACAGGAUUUGUGGCUCAAUAAAUUGUAUACAGUGCUGAAUGAGAUGCCCUGCAGCUCUUUCUCGUGUUGGUGAACUCUAAUAGUUCUCUUAUUUUUAGGUUACAUUUUAACAUUCUUGUAUUUCUUAAAGGAUAUUCUGACUGUGAGAUAUUUUAAAAUAAUUUGACUUAGCAACUAUUUCUAAACCUGUAGUAUAUGGAAGUUCCCAGGCUAGGGGUCGAAGCAGAGCUUCAGCUGCCAGCCUAAGCCACAGCCACAGCAACACCAGAUUCAAGAUGCAUUUACACCCUACACUGCAGCUCACAGCAACACCAGAUCCUUAACCUACUGAGCGGGGCCAGGGAUCGAACCCGCAUCCUCAUGGGUAUUUGUCAGGCCCAUUAAUGCUGAACCACAACAUUAACUCAUAUGUGUGUGUGUGUGUGUGUGUGUGUGUGUGUGUGUGUGUGUAGUGGGAAGCAUUACUUUUCAAGUAGGUGACAUUUAUCCAAUUCUUCAGAUUUUUGUGGAAGGGGAUUGGACCCACUGUUGCUUUAUCCUUUCUUUCAAUUUAAUGAAAUACCACAGAGAAGGCACAGUGUCUAGACAACUCCAGUACACUGGGGACAGUCAGUCCGUGAUAGAGCCUGAACACAGGGAGUGGACACCUUUUGGAUGUCUGCUCAGCUCACAAUAAUGUCCAGUAUCGCCCUUUCCCCAUUCCCAGGGCUUGGCCUCCACAGUCAUCUCUGUAAAACAAGACCCUGCUGCCCUGGGCAUGUGUAAUUAGACCAGGUCAAGACCCAGACCAAGUUACUGCAAUAUUCCCUCAAUGUGGUGAGAAAUGGGACAGGAGCUAUAGGCAGCCACCUUGGACCUACCUUAUGGAAACCACUUUAAUAAGAGAAAAACAAAGCAAAUAUUCUGAGAAAAGCUUCAAUACGGGAGAGUCCUCACUUCAUUGGCAGGUCUCAGUUGCCUGCAGGGGCUCAGAUUCAGGUUUUCUCAGACAUUGCUGCCAACAUUCCAAUCCAAAUCCUCAUCAGAAAAGAAUAUCUUAAACAACCAAGUCUGGUUCCCACAGAUUUCUAUCAUCAAGAGACUGUGUUGGAGAAAAUAUGUGAAUGACAAUGCAUAUUUCAUCUCAAUAUUGAAUAUUGAUAAAAUAACUAAUUUUAACAUGGGUUUACAACACGUCAAAAAUCAGUGACGCUUAAUUCACUAACCUCUUAAGCUCAAGGAAAUAGUUAUAUGACUUACAAGAUGGCUGUAAGGCAUGUGAUUAAUUUAAACUUGCAUUAUUAGAUUUUGUUUCCCCAUAAACAGGUGAAAUGCAUAUUUAAGCUUGAUUCUGAUGCCUGGUGUAAUACCUCUUGAUGAAAUCCUAAGUUGAUCUAUAGUUAAUCCAUCUUUAAAGAGAAUGUAUGCAUAAGGACAUUUGAAAUCCAAUAUAAUAACAUCAAAAUCUUAAAUUUGGGGGAGUUCCUGCCGUGGUGCAGUGGGUUAAGGAUCUGGUGGUAUCUCGGCAGUGGAUUGGGUCACUCCUGAGGUGUGGGUUCGAUCCCACUCUGGUGCAGUGGGUUAAGGAUCAGGCAUUUCCACAGCUGUGGCUUGGAUUCAAUCCCUGG